Molecule: ribosomal RNA, 502 nt
Filed under: uncultured Glomeromycotina
Lineage: Eukaryota; Fungi; Glomeromycota
Description: partial small subunit ribosomal RNA
Rfam family: Eukaryotic small subunit ribosomal RNA
Source: RNAcentral
CCAAUAGCGUAUAUUAAAGUUGUUACAGUUAAAAAGCUCGUAGUUGAACUUCGGGGUUUACCCAUUGGUCAGGCUUAAUUGUCUGUACUGGUGAGAUAAAUCUCUACCUUCUGAGGAACUUUCAUGUCAUUAAUUUGGUGUGAUUGGAAAUCAGGACUGUUACUUUGAAAAAAUUAGAGUGUUUAAAGCAGGCUAACGUCUGAAUACAUUAGCAUGGAAUAAUGAAAUAGGACGGACUGAUUCUAUUUCGUUGGUUUCUAGGAUCACCGUAAUGAUUAAUAGGGAUAGUUGGGGGCAUUAGUAUUCAAUUGUCAGGUGUGAAAUUCUUGGAUUUAUUGAAGACUAACUACUGCGAAAGCAUUUGCCAAGGAUGUUUUCAUUAAUCAAGAACGAAAGUUAGGGGAUCGAAGACGAUCAGAUACCGUCGUAGUCUUAACCAUAAACUAUGCCGACUAGGGAUCGGACGAAGUUAAUUUUAUAAUGACGCGUUCGGCACCUUACG